UGCUCUAAAUAAAAAAAAAUCUACAAAAUACGAAAUAAGAAUCGUGGGUUUGAAUUUUCUCGAAUUCUAAAGCCCUAUUUCACUUUUUUUUAUUUCUCGAGUUAUGAUGGUGUUAAUUUUAUAAUUCGAUUGAUCUAUUCUGAUUUAUUCUGCAGAUAUCGAUUUGAAAUCAUCAAGAAGGAAACUAUUAGCGAAAGAGAAAACAACAUAGUUUUUCUUUCAAAACAAAAGACUCCUGCAAAGCUUAUGCGGGAGAAUAAGAGGGUUCUGGAUAAAUCUAUAGAGAAAAAUAUUUUAAGCACAAGGGAAGAAAAUUUAUUGUUGGGAUUAAGAAAAGCCCCGAGCAAGAGCAGAUGUUUUUCUUGAAUACAUGUAUCCCAGGAUUUUAGUGUGAUUAUGUGCAGGCAACCGCUACGGGAAUACAAGAACAAUGGAUGGUGGGCAAAAAAUUGUUUCUUAAAUUUGAAGACAAAGCAACAAGAACAACAACACUGGAAAAAAUGCACUAUACCCUGUUCGCGACAAAAGGUGAUCAACGCAAGGCAAGGCAAGGCUUAUAAAGAGUUGAAAGUCUGGAAACUGUAAAACCAAUCAGGCAGACUAUGUAAUUGAGGCGUUAACCUGCUUUACAAUCUCCGAUGUUUGAAACAAGCUAAUGGCAAACAGUGUGGGCAUUAAACAUCAGUUUUUCAAUAAUGUGCAGGAAAAAUGUACACAGGUGAUUCAGAAAAAAAUUAAAUCAUGCCUAAUAGAUUGUUAUAAAUUCGCUCUACAAAGAGGAAAUGUAAUUAGCGUUGCAAUGAAAGAAUGAUUUAUUAUCAUAAAUGGUUUAGGCAAGACCGAAUUAUCCGAAGGUAUUAUACCGGAAGAUGUCCAUGUACCUAAAAUGCAAGUAUAUAUUCUCACAAAUGUCCAUCAUGAACCCAUCAAGAUCGCGGGUUCAUACGGAUCCUAUCUAUAAUAGAUGGUAGAUCCCAAAGAUGGCGAAGGUGACACUAAAAUCUGAAACCGAUGGGAGCAGAGAUAUAUGGUAAGAACUACCAUGCCAAUAUAGUAGUUACAACCAUUUUCUACCCUCAAAAUUAAUUAUAACAGCAACACAGGCUACUCUAAAUUGAACGAGUUGGAAAUCUGAAGUUGUAAUUCAUUUUGCGAGUCGAUAAACUGUUUGCAUACUAUUGGACCAAUGCUCAUCUGUCGAAAGGGUAUGAAACGGCUCUUUAAUUCAUGUUUGUGGAUCACGUUGACAUUUAGGAUGUUAUGGCCUUGAAGUUGGGAAAUAAUAUGCACUGCAUCUCUAAACUACUAACACAUAUAUGCUGUUUUAGUUCCCUAUUGUUUGAAAUAGUAAAUUGAACCAAAAGUGAAAACCCAUUUGGUAUGUAAAUUUGUUUUUGUUGAUUGAUACAUUUUUUUCA
This is a long non-coding RNA of Papaver somniferum (opium poppy), 1418 nucleotides long. RefSeq lists it as uncharacterized. The record is from RefSeq and is a predicted model, not a curated record. NCBI's taxonomy places the organism in Eukaryota, Viridiplantae, Streptophyta, Magnoliopsida, Ranunculales, Papaveraceae. The transcript has 8 exons.